RNAcentral lists this transfer RNA (151 nucleotides) under Escherichia phage phi92. RNAcentral describes it as "Enterobacteria phage phi92 hypothetical tRNA". Lineage: Duplodnaviria; Heunggongvirae; Uroviricota; Caudoviricetes. The record is from RNAcentral.
AUAUCGAAGAUGGUUAUAAGAGUGGUAUCGCUCAUUUGGCAUCUUUCACAGGAACAGAUAACAUUCUGGCUAUUGAGACUGUGCAUGAUUAUUAUGGUAUUGAUUAUGAUCAGUUUGUUGCAGGUUCUAUUCCGGCAACAGAACAUUCAGU